GCUGUACCUGCCUUAUACUUUGUUUUGGUGGUUGGAAGUAGUGAAGAUGAAGAUAAUAUAAAGUUUUUGAUUUGAACAUUUGGGUUUGGUGUUAUUUUAUUAUUUUUGGUUUUGGUAGUAGAGAUCGAAAAUGACUCGUCAACUAAAAUUGGUACUGGUGGUAGUCGCAUUAGCUGCAUUGCGUAAAAAUUAGGUUUCUCUUAAAAGAUUAUAUACGAGUUAAGAUGUUAAGACUAAGUUAUUUUGUCUUCUUUUUCUUGUUUUUGGCACUUCUUUUACAACCCAAG
This 287-nucleotide unclassified non-coding RNA is filed under the name Hevea brasiliensis (rubber tree). The record is from RNAcentral. Lineage: Eukaryota; Viridiplantae; Streptophyta; Magnoliopsida; Malpighiales; Euphorbiaceae.